GAUGAAGAACGCAGCAAAAUGCGAUAAGUAAUGUGAAUUGCAGAAUUCAGUGAAUCAUCGAAUCUUUGAACGCACAUUGCGCCCGCCAGUAUUCUGGCGGGCAUGCCUGUCUGAGCGUCAUUUCAACCCUCAUACCCCUAGGGCGUGGUGUUGGGGAUCGGCCAAAGCCCGCGAGGGACGGCCGGCCCCUAAAUCUAGUGGCGGACCCGUCGUGGCCUCCUCUGCGAAGUAGUGAUAUUCCGCAUCGGAGAGCGACGAGCCCCUGCCGUUAAACCCCCAACUUUCCAAGGUUGACCUCAGAUCAGGUAGGAAUACCCGCUGAACUUAAGCAUAUCAAUAAGCGGAGGA
This 348-nucleotide unclassified non-coding RNA is filed under the name soil metagenome. RNAcentral describes it as "partial contains 5.8S ribosomal RNA, internal transcribed spacer 2, and large subunit ribosomal RNA". The stretch from base 1 to 120 matches the Rfam family "5.8S ribosomal RNA", at positions 35 to 154 of the family's 154-position model. The record is from RNAcentral.